CGAUUUUCCGGUUGAUCCUGCCGGAGGUCACUGCUAUCGGGGUUCGAUUACGCCAUGCGAGUUGAGAGGGUUUAGACCCUCGGCGGACUGCUCAGUAACACGUGGAUAACCUGCCCUAAGGUGGAGGAUAACCCCGGGAAACUGGGGAUAAUACUCCAUAGAUCAGAGUAACUGGAAUGUUUUCUGGUCGAAAGUUCCGGCGCCUUAGGAUGGAUCUGCGGCCGAUUAGGUAGUUGUUGGGGUAACGGCCCAACAAGCCAGUCAUCGGUACGGGUUGUGGGAGCAAGAGCCCGGAGAUGGAAUCUGAGACACGAUUCCAGGCCCUACGGGGCGCAGCAGGCGCGAAAACUUUACAAUGCAGGAAACUGUGAUAAGGGAACCCCGAGUGCUCGUACACGCGAGCUGUCCAGGUGUGUAAAAAGCAUCUGAAGAAAGGGCCGGGCAAGACCGGUGCCAGCCGCCGCGGUAAUACCGGCGGCUCGAGUGGUGGCCACUAUUAUUGGGCUUAAAGCGUUCGUAGCUGGACUCUUAAGUCUCCUGGGAAAUCCGCCGGCUCAACCGGCGGGCGUCCAGGAGAUACUGGGAGUCUUGGAACCGGAAGAGGUAAGAGUACUUCGGGGUAGGAGU
This 627-nucleotide ribosomal RNA is filed under the name uncultured archaeon. Its description in RNAcentral is "bacterial SSU rRNA". It matches the Rfam family "Archaeal small subunit ribosomal RNA", at positions 1 to 633 of the family's 1478-position model. The record is from RNAcentral.